GCGCGCGCGGCGAGGAGCUGGCCGCGCUGGGCAAGCAGGCCAGCUUCUCGGGCAGCGUGGAGGUCAUCGAGGUGUCCUGACCGCGGCCGGAGCGGCCUCUCCGCGGGGACGCGGCGCCCCGAGCCCUUGGCUGCCCUCGGCUGGGCCCGCUAUAAAUAUAUAUUAUAUAUAAUGCAAAGAAAGGUAAAUGGUUUUACUGCGAUUUUUAUCGAGAAGUAAAUAUUUCAAUUUUUUAUUUAUUUAAGCUGUUCAUUCUGGCAAUGAUUUGGCAACAGUGCGGGCGGUCCUCGGAGCUCUAUUUUUACUGUCUGGUAUUUAAAAUGAAACCCACGUUUCUAAGCAAUAUGAGGCCACCUUCAGUUGCAAGCUGGGGUGCCAGGCUUGGGGUUCCCCUGCCCCCUCCCCCAGGAAACACUGCUGACCAUUGUAAAGAGGCUGCUGAGCUUUCGUGCACUUUUUACAUAAGAAAAGGGGAAAAAAGGAUAAAAAACCUUAGCCGCAGACUGAGCCGCAGAGCCCCCCUGCCCUCCCGCUGAGUCCUCUCCUGCCCCUCCCUUCUCUGCUCCUCUCCCGGCUCCUCACCAAAGCCAUAGGUGGGAGGGGGUGUCCUGGAGCCAGGGGGCCCCCAGGAGGCGCUCACAGCCCCCUGCCAGCUCCAGUGCCACCGAGGGCGUCCCUGCCACCCAUCCCCCCAGCCUGUUGCCUGCCAGGUGUUGGGGGGCCAGGGUGGGGUCCGGAAGAGGGUAGCAGUGUAAAGAAGGGGGCUCUGAGUGUGAGGAGACGUGAGUCCCCAGGGCAGGGUGACCCCCACUCCCAUCUGAGCCUGGGUCCAGCUGCACGAGCUCCAGCAGUUCCGAGGAGGCUGCUACCCUCUCCUCCACUUUGUGAGCACCCUCUCCAGCACCAGCUGCCAAGUGGGGAGCUGGCAGAGGGGGAGCUUGGUCCCUGGGGGGCAGUGGGAAUAGCUGGGCCAGCCGUGCUGGCUCCACUGGUCAGAGGGCAGAUAGAUUCCGGGUCUUGUUCUGCGGGUGGAGGUGACUCUCAGAGGAGGGCUCUGCCCUGGAGUGGAGCCUGGGGACAGGGGGCUAGAAACGGCUGGAACCAGCGGGUAGACUGUGGACACUUAGGGUGAGUAGGGGCUGGUGCGGGCUGGGCUGCGCGGCUUUCCUUGCCUGGAGCCACGUGCCUUUGGGCCGCAGCCACGUUCUCCGCAUCGUUUGGUUUUUUUCUCUUUGCAAGAAGUCUCCUUGCUGGUGGGAAGUGCGGCUGUGCGUGCUUGCCUGCAGUGGCCGAGCCUGAUGUCCCCCUGCUGCUGCUGGCGGGCUCCCCCAGAGGGUGGGUGCAGUGCUGGGAAGUGGGGCGGGGUCCUGUGGGGGGUCACACGAGAGCCGUUUAGUGGGGAUUCUGAGGGAGGGUCUUUGAAAAGUCUCUGUUUGAGCUAAGAGCUCGGAGAUGUGAAUGGGGCUCAGGGCCCGGAUGGUUUGGGGUUUGAAUCCCGACUGCAGCGUCACAAGAUGUCCUGUCUCACUUUUGCGAGCCUCAGUUUCAUCCUCUGUGAAAUGGGCAGAGGAUGAACAGUAACCUUCCCAGCGGGUGGUGGGAAGGAGCUCUGUGUCCGCGUGGAGAAGGCCCCUAGCCCCUGCCAGCGCGCUGCGGCCCGCCCUGCCGUGCUGCUGGGGCGAGUGGCCGCCGGGUCCCGGGGCACGCAGCCCCCUUCUGCAGCAGGCCCGGCUCUCGGGGUGACUCGGGCGGAAGGGAGGGCCCAGGGGCUC
Molecule: long non-coding RNA, 1772 nt
Filed under: Capra hircus (goat)
Lineage: Eukaryota; Metazoa; Chordata; Mammalia; Artiodactyla; Bovidae
Description: lncRNA (ENSCHIG00010012950.1)
Source: RNAcentral